This 766-nucleotide ribosomal RNA is filed under the name uncultured bacterium. Its description in RNAcentral is "bacterial SSU rRNA". It matches the Rfam family "Bacterial small subunit ribosomal RNA", at positions 31 to 811 of the family's 1533-position model. The record is from RNAcentral.
GAACGCUGGCGGCGCGUCUUAAACAUGCAAGUCGAACGGUAACACUUCGGGUGACGAGUGGCGAACGGGUGAGUAACACGUAGGAACCUGCCCUGAAGUGGGGGACAACCAGCCGAAAGGCUGGCUAAUACCCCAUAGUCCCGCAAGGGUAAAGGAUGGAUACAUUCGCUUCAGGAUGGGCCUGCGGUCCAUCAGCUUGUUGGUAAGGUAAUGGCUUACCAAGGCUACGACGGAUAGCCGGUCUGAGAGGAUGAUCGGCCACACUGGCACUGAGACACGGGCCAGACUCCUACGGGAGGCAGCAGUUAAGAAUCUUGCGCAAUGGGCGAAAGCCUGACGCAGCGACGCCGCGUGAAGGAAGAAGGCCUUCGGGUUGUAAACUUCAUUAAGAUGGGAAGAAUAAGUACGGUCUAAUAGGCCGUGCGAUGACGGUACCAUCCUGCAGCCCCGGCUAAUUACGUGCCAGCAGCCGCGGUAAUACGUAAGGGGCAAGCGUUGUUCGGAUUUAUUGGGCGUAAAGGGCACGUAGGCUGACUGUUAAGUUGGAUGUCUAAUCUCCAGGCUCAACCUGGAACCGGCAUCCAAAACUGACAGUCUUGAGUACCAGAGGGGAAAGCGGAAUUCUUGGUGUAGCGGUGGAAUGCGUAGAUACCAAGAGGAACACCAGUGGCGAAGGCGGCUUUCUGGCUGGAUACUGACGCUCAUGUGCGAAAGCGUGGGGAGCAAACAGGAUUAGAUACCCUGGUAGUCCACGCCGUAAACGUUG